AACGCGAAGAACCUUACCUACACUUGACAUCCCUUGCAUUACUCUUAAUCGAGGAAAUCCCUUCGGGGACAAGGUGACAGGUGGUGCAUGGUUGUCGUCAGCUCGUGUCGUGAGAUGUUGGGUUAAGUCCCGCAACGAGCGCAACCCUUGUCGUUAGUUACUACCAUUAAGUUGAGGACUCUAGCGAGACUGCCUGGGUUAACCAGGAGGAAGGUGGGGAUGACGUCAAAUCAUCAUGCCCCUUAUGUGUAGGGCUACACACGUGCUACAAUGGCUGGUACAGAGAGAUGCAAUACCGCGAGGUGGAGCCAAACUUAAAAACCAGUCUCAGUUCGGAUUGUAGGCUGAAACUCGCCUACAUGAAGCUGGAGUUACUAGUAAUCGCGAAUCAGAAUGUCGCGGUGAAUACGUUCCCGGGUCUUGUACACACCG
Molecule: ribosomal RNA, 432 nt
Filed under: uncultured bacterium
Lineage: Bacteria
Description: bacterial SSU rRNA
Rfam family: Bacterial small subunit ribosomal RNA
Source: RNAcentral